Molecule: long non-coding RNA, 329 nt
Organism: Pieris brassicae (large cabbage white)
Lineage: Eukaryota; Metazoa; Arthropoda; Insecta; Lepidoptera; Pieridae
Exons: 4
Source: RefSeq, a predicted model, not a curated record
GUCGUUACAAAGCUAAUCGUACGGAAUCGGGGAGCGUAUUCUAUGGAAACAGUCAUCAGUCAUUUUGGAUUUGACUUUAAGGUUCGUAUAACAGUUGUAUUUGUUACGAAUGAUCAAUUUGGAAACACUUUGGAAAGAUUUCAUGGAGGGCAGUUAGAGGCGAAGGCAUUGGGGUGCAAACGAGUCUAUAUCCUUGAAGCCCAUUGAAGCCCAUCUUCGUGGGCCGUUGAGGGACAAGCAGACAUCCUUUGAUGCUGGCAGCAUUUCGCCGCUGCAUUAGGAUGCAUGUUCAUUGAGCGAAAAAAGGACCAACAAACUUCUUGAACAGC